CUAGCAUAUCAAUAAGCGGAGGAAAAGAAACCAACAGGGAUUGCCCUAGUAACGGCGAGUGAAGCGGCAACAGCUCAAAUUUGAAAUCUGGCUCUUUCAGAGUCCGAGUUGUAAUUUGCAGAGGGCGCUUUGGCGUUGGCAGCGGUCCAAGUUCUUUGGAACAGGACGUCACAGAGGGUGAGAAUCCCGUACGUGGUCGCUAUCCUUCGCCGUGUAAAGCCCCUUCGACGAGUCGAGUUGUUUGGGAAUGCAGCUCUAAAUGGGAGGUAAAUUUCUUCUAAAGCUAAAUACUGGCCAGAGACCGAUAGCGCACAAGUAGAGUGAUCGAAAGAUGAAAAGCACUUUGGAAAGAGAGUCAAACAGCACGUGAAAUUGUUGAAAGGGAAGCGCUUGCAGCCAGACUUGCCUGUAGUUGCUUAUCCGGACUUUUGUCCGGUGCACUCUUCUAUAGGCAGGCCAGCAUCAGUUUGGGCGGUUAGAUAAAGGUCUCUGUCAUGUACCUCUCUUCGGAGAGGCCUUAUAGGGGAGACGACAUGUAACCAGCCUGGACUGAGGUCCGCGCAUCUGCUAGGAUGCUGGCGUAAUGGCUGUAAGCGGCCCGUCUUGAAACACGGACCAAGGAGUCUAACAUCUAUGCGAGUGUUUGGGUGUCAAGCCCAGACGCGUAAUGAAAGUGAACGGAGGUAAGAACCCUUUGGGUGCAUUAUCGACCGAUCCUGAUGUCUUCGGAAGGAUUUGAGUAAGAGCAUGGCUGUUGGGACCCGAAAGAUGGUGAACUAUGCUUGAAUAGGGUGAAGCCAGAGGAAACUCUGGUGGAGGCUCGCAGCGGUUCUGACGUGCAAAUCGAUCGUCAAAUUUGGGCAUAGGGGCGAAAGACUAAUCGACAUCAAUGCGAAA
Molecule: ribosomal RNA, 897 nt
Filed under: Leptosphaeria barriae
Lineage: Eukaryota; Fungi; Ascomycota; Dothideomycetes; Pleosporales; Leptosphaeriaceae
Description: partial large subunit ribosomal RNA
Rfam family: Eukaryotic large subunit ribosomal RNA
Source: RNAcentral